ACAGCCCCACGAUCCUGUCACUGACCUGGGGCCUCAGCUCUCAGGGUCCUCACCCAUUUCUCAGGAAGCCAGCCGGGCAGACGGGAUGCUGCCCCUGAAAGCAGUCCUCCUCUCCUCAUUCUGGACUUUUGCAUUGGGGCAGCUGAAGCAACCUGAAGUGGUCAUCUCUAGAGCAACAGAUAAGAGUGCUGACAUACCUUGUAAGGCAUCAUUCUCAGGCUUUGACAGUACGGGAAUAUACUGGUACCGGCAGAAGCCUAAUGAAGGUUUACAGUACCUCCUGAAUGUUAAGACCAGCGCUACUGGAGUUAACUUUGAUGGAAAGAAGAACAAAUUUGAGGCAAGUAAAAAUUCUGGAGCUUCCACUUCAACCUUGAAAAUAAACUCCUUAGAAGCGCAAGAUGAGGCCAUGUACUACUGUGCUUACUGGGCUAGCAGUAGCACAGCAUUGCAGUUACAAGAAUAA
Non-coding RNA from Cavia porcellus (domestic guinea pig), 466 nucleotides. NCBI's taxonomy places the organism in Eukaryota, Metazoa, Chordata, Mammalia, Rodentia, Caviidae. The record is from the annotation of a RefSeq genome assembly.